Molecule: long non-coding RNA, 1354 nt
Organism: Marmota monax (woodchuck)
Lineage: Eukaryota; Metazoa; Chordata; Mammalia; Rodentia; Sciuridae
Exons: 2
Source: RefSeq, a predicted model, not a curated record
AGCGCCGGACGGGGCAGCCGGCGGCGGGUUGCAGUGCAGGGCACUGUCCAAGAGCCGCCUGGACCCUUGGGACCCGCUGCUUGCGGGUCGUCGUGCUUUGUCGUCUCUUAGCCUGGCUGCUUCCUAGGGCACAGUUAAAACGGUAUGGAGCGCCAUUCAGAGCUUAUUGGAUGCGCUGUGAAGACCCAGCUUCUCAGACAAGGGCCCACGGGGACUGACAGUUUGACAUCAGAAAUAUAAUCGCACGCAGGCUACUUUGAAUGGCUGGCUGGACCGCGCUUAAGGGCUUCAAGUGCUGAGGAUUGAACCCAGUGCCUCACACAUGCUAGGUAAUCGCGCUGUCACUGAGCUACAACCCCAGCCCGGCUUUUAUUAUUUUUAAUUUAAGCUGAAGAAUUCAUUACAAGGCUCGUGGAAGAAAACUCACAUGCUGAUUCACUGUUACUUCUUUCUCCUCGUCCUCCUAUCCAUUGCCUAAGUUUGAUUCACUCUUCAAGAUCCAGCAUGCACUACCUUGGAUCUGUAGUUGUCUUUCUGUGUGUUGUGCGUGCUGUCUGGACAACUUGAUUGUAAGUUGAGAAAAGAAACUUGUUUUACACAUCCCCCGAUGCCUAGUGUAAUGCAUUAUAUGAAAUAGAUAACUGAAAACUAGGUUGAUAUGUUGAAUGUCUUCACAGUUUUGCCUGGGUCUGCUUGGUACUUCCUUUACAAAGUCAAAAUCAGUAUAAAUAAAUAUAUCUCAAGCAUUUCACACUGAGGGGACAAGCUAAUGCCAAGUUCAUAAGGCUCUUGAGAAUGACUGUUCAAGAGACAAAGACCACCAGCGUGGCCAAAGCAUGGUAGAUGAGGGAAAUGACAGAAAGUCAUGGGAAUGAAUGAGGUCACCAGAGAAGAUACAUGGAGAAAAUGACCUAAGACAGAACCCUGGGGAGUCAAAAGCCAAUAAAAGAAAAUGCCAGUAAGUGGCUAAGAGGGGGCAGUGGUGAGUGGCAUCAUAUAAGACAAAAAAGAGGAACAGCCAGUUAUGCCAAUGCCCUGAGGUCAUGGUUGAUAAAGUGACCAGUGGGCUUAACGACAUGGAGGUCAGUCCCUGUGACUGAAGAAGAGAAAUGCAAGGUGGAGAAGUGGAAGAAAGGGUGAGCAAAAAUAUUUCAAGAAAUUUUGCUAUUUCGAGAACAAAGAAACAACGUCACUGAGAAAUCACUGAGGUAAAGGGUAGAUUUUAGUUUUCUUGUGUUUAAAGAGAAAAAAUACACAAUGGUAGCUUUUUGAUUUUGUUCAUGAGUCACAGUAAGAACUACAUAAUAAUUAUGUUUAUAAUUAAAAUUAUAGAAUAAAAAAUUCCACAAAACAA